AUAAUAAAUAGAUUUAAAUCUACUUAAUAAAUAUAUAUAUACCAUUGAACUUGAUGGGAUACGAAUUAUACGAAACUAAUUUCAACGAUUAAACCGUCAAACUUGUUUGUAUAUGCUUCGAGAUUGCAUCAUUAAAAAAUCGCAAAAAAAAAAAACAUUCAUAGAUCAAGUAACCGAACAAAACUUUUCAACGGUUAUAAAACGAAAAAUCACGACUUAACUGUUAUUUUAACUCCGAUUUUUAUGAUUUUUUACAGCUACAUUCUUUGACCCUAUAUGAAUACAAUGAAUGAAUUCCAUCUUCAAUUUAAAAUAUUUACACUAGUGGAUAUCUUAUGUUAUACUUAAUAAAUGUAUAAAUAAACUCUUAAGUGUUAGUGAAUCUAUUGUUUUGAUGGGAUACGCAUUCUAUGAAACUAAUUUCAACGAUCCAACCGUCAAACAUGUUUGUAAAUACUUCGAGAUCGCAUACGCCAAAAAAUGCAAAAAAACAAACAUUUAGAGAUUAAGUAACCAAACCAAACUUUUCAACGGUUAUAAAACGAAAAAUCACGAUUUAACGGUUGUUUUAACUCCAAUUUUGAUGAUUUUUUACAGCUACACUCCUUGACCCUAAUUGAAUACAAUGAAUGAAUUCGAUCUUCAAUUUAAAAUAUUUACACUAGUGAAUCUUAUGUUAUACUUAAUGAAAGUAUGAAUAAACUCUUAAAUGUUAGUGAAUCUAUUGUUUUUAUGGGAUACACAUUCUACAAAACUAGUUUCAACGAUCCAACCGUCAAACAUGUUUGUAUAUACUUCGAGAUCGCAUACGCCAAAAAUUGCAAAAAAAAAACAUUCAAAGAUCAAGUAACAGGACAAAACCUUUCGACAGUUAUAAAAAGAAAAAUCACGAUUUAACGGUUAUUUUAACUCCGAUUUUGAUGAUUCUUUACAGCUACACUCCUUGACCCUAUAUGAAUACAAUGAAUGAAUUUGAUCUUCAAUUUAAAAUAUUUACACUAGUGGAUAUCUUAUGUUAUACUUAAUGAAAAUAUGAAUAAACUCUUUAAGUGUUAGUGAAUCUAUUGUUUUGAUAGGAUACGCAUUCUACCAAACUAGUUUCAACGAUCCAACCAUCAAACAUGUUUGUAUAUACUUCGAGAUCGCAUACGCUAAAAAUUGCAAAAAACAAACAUUCAGAGAUUAAGUAACUGAACAAAA
This 1200-nucleotide long non-coding RNA is filed under the name Malus domestica (apple). RNAcentral describes it as "long non-coding RNA (MDOM_LNC002526)". Lineage: Eukaryota; Viridiplantae; Streptophyta; Magnoliopsida; Rosales; Rosaceae. The record is from RNAcentral.